Molecule: ribosomal RNA, 800 nt
Filed under: uncultured bacterium
Lineage: Bacteria
Description: bacterial SSU rRNA
Rfam family: Bacterial small subunit ribosomal RNA
Source: RNAcentral
GCUUUGCUGACGAGUGGCGGACGGGUGAGUAAUGUCUGGGAAACUGCCUGAUGGAGGGGGAUAACUACUGGAAACGGUAGCUAAUACCGCAUAACGUCGCAAGACCAAAGAGGGGGACCUUCGGGCCUCUUGCCAUCGGAUGUGCCCAGAUGGGAUUAGCUAGUAGGUGGGGUAACGGCUCACCUAGGCGACGAUCCCUAGCUGGUCUGAGAGGAUGACCAGCCACACUGGAACUGAGACACGGUCCAGACUCCUACGGGAGGCAGCAGUGGGGAAUAUUGCACAAUGGGCGCAAGCCUGAUGCAGCCAUGCCGCGUGUAUGAAGAAGGCCUUCGGGUUGUAAAGUACUUUCAGCGGGGAGGAAGGCGAUAAGGUUAAUAACCUUGUCGAUUGACGUUACCCGCAGAAGAAGCACCGGCUAACUCCGUGCCAGCGGCCGCGGUAAUACGGAGGGUGCAAGCGUUAAUCGGAAUUACUGGGCGUAAAGCGCACGCAGGCGGUCUGUCAAGUCGGAUGUGAAAUCCCCGGGCUCAACCUGGGAACUGCAUUCGAAACUGGCAGGCUAGAGUCUUGUAGAGGGGGGUAGAAUUCCAGGUGUAGCGGUGAAAUGCGUAGAGAUCUGGAGGAAUACCGGUGGCGAAGGCGGCCCCCUGGACAAAGACUGACGCUCAGGUGCGAAAGCGUGGGGAGCAAACAGGAUUAGAUACCCUGGUAGUCCACGCCGUAAACGAUGUCGACUUGGAGGUUGUGCCCUUGAGGCGUGGCUUCCGGAGCUAACGCGUUAAGUCGACCGCCUGGGG